This 431-nucleotide ribosomal RNA is filed under the name uncultured bacterium. RNAcentral describes it as "partial 16S ribosomal RNA". It matches the Rfam family "Bacterial small subunit ribosomal RNA", at positions 29 to 507 of the family's 1533-position model. The record is from RNAcentral.
AGCGAACGCUGGCGGCAGGCUUAACACAUACAAGUCGAGCGCCCCGCAAGGGGAGCGGCAGACGGGAGAGUAACACGUGGGAACAUACCUUUUGGUUCGGAACAACUGAGGGAAACUUCAGCUAAUACCGGAUAAGCCCUUACGGGGAAAGAUUUAUCGCCGAAAGAUUGGCCCGCGUCUGAUUAGCUAGUUGGUGAGGUAACGGCUCACCAAGGCGACGAUCAGUAGCUGGUCUGAGAGGAUGAUCAGCCUCACUGGGACUGAGACACGGCCCAGACUCCUACGGGAGGCAGCAGUGGGGAAUAUUGGACAAUGGGGGCAACCCUGAUCCAGCCAUGCCGCGUGAGUGAUGAAGGCCUUAGGGUUGUAAAGCUCUUUUGCCCGGGAAGAUAAUGACGGUACCGGGAGAAUAAGCCCCGGCUAACUUCGUG